Molecule: ribosomal RNA, 563 nt
Filed under: Oreobates yanucu
Lineage: Eukaryota; Metazoa; Chordata; Amphibia; Anura; Strabomantidae
Description: partial 16S ribosomal RNA
Rfam family: Bacterial large subunit ribosomal RNA
Source: RNAcentral
CGCCUCUUGCCCCCCCCAUAAGAGGUCCUGCCUGCCCAGUGACACUUGUUUAACGGCCGCGGAAUCCUAACCGUGCAAAGGUAGCGUAAUCACUUGUCUUGUAAAUUAGGACUUGUAUGAAAGGCACCACGAGGGCCCAACUGUCUCCUUUUUCCAAUCAGUGAAACUAAUCUCCCCGUGAAGAAGCGGGGAUUCUUUUAUAAGACGAGAAGACCCUAUGGAGCUUUAAACUGUAUAGCACACGCACACCCAUUCACUUUCCUGAAAGCUCACCCCCAUUCCGCGCCCUGCUAAAAAGUUUUCGGUUGGGGCGACCCCGGAGAACAGUAAACCCUCCGCAAUGAAUGGACUUUGUCCUAAGAAAAAAGUUACUACUUUACACAUCAGUAACACUGACAUGCAUUGACCCAAUUUUUGAUCAACGAACCAAGUUACCCUAGGGAUAACAGCGCUAUCCACUUCAAAAGUUCCUAUCGACAAGUGGGCUUACGACCUCGAUGUUGGAUCAGGGUAUCCUAGUGGUGCAGCCGCUACUAAAGGUUCGUUUGUUCAACGAUUAAAAC